This is a long non-coding RNA of Gordionus sp. m RMFG-2023, 405 nucleotides long. RefSeq lists it as uncharacterized. The transcript has 3 exons. The record is from RefSeq and is a predicted model, not a curated record. NCBI's taxonomy places the organism in Eukaryota, Metazoa, Nematomorpha, Gordioida, Chordodea, Parachordodidae.
AAAGAAGAAAUAAAUUUAAUAUAAUACAUCAAAUGUCAGUUAUUUUCUGACAGGAAAAUUAAGUUUUCCUUGGGGGAAGAAGAGGAGAUAGGGAUCACGGGGUGUGUUUCAUUGUUCGGAAAAACCCGUAGUUGGAGAUUAAGAGAUAUUGGAUUAGAUGUCAGCUGUGGACCUUUGGAUGUUAGCUGUGGACCUUUGGAUGUUAGCUGUGGACCUUUGGAUGUUAGCUGUGGACCUUUGAGAAAUGAAGAAUUGGAUAAUUAUAUUAUCUGACCAGGAUCGAAAGAGUGGGUUGAUUCGGUUUUAAAGUAUUCCGUCAUAGGAAGCUGAAAGACCUCAUGAACAGCAGGACAGAAAGGAUUGUUAAAUAUUUAAAUAUGUGAAAUUUAUGAAAAUAUAUAUGGA